GACGAACGCUGGCGGCGUGCUUAACACAUGCAAGUCGAACGGAAAGGCCCUGCUUUUGUGGGGUGCUCGAGUGGCGAACGGGUGAGUAACACGUGAGUAACCUGCCCUUGACUUUGGGAUAACUUCAGGAAACUGGGGCUAAUACCGGAUAGGAGCUCCUGCUGCAUGGUGGGGGUUGGAAAGUUUCGGCGGUUGGGGAUGGACUCGCGGCUUAUCAGCUUGUUGGUGGGGUAGUGGCUUACCAAGGCUUUGACGGGUAGCCGGCCUGAGAGGGUGACCGGCCACAUGGGGCCUGAGAGACGGCGCAGAAUCCUACGGGAGGCAGCAGUGGGGAAUAUUGCACAGUGGGCGGAAGCCUGAUGCAGCAACGCCGCGUGCGGGAUGACGGCCUUCGGGUGGUAAACCGCUUUCGCCUGUGACGAAGCGUUAGUGACGGUAAUGGGUAAAGAAGCACCGGCUAACUACGUG
Molecule: ribosomal RNA, 468 nt
Filed under: uncultured bacterium
Lineage: Bacteria
Description: partial 16S ribosomal RNA
Rfam family: Bacterial small subunit ribosomal RNA
Source: RNAcentral